RNAcentral lists this ribosomal RNA (584 nucleotides) under uncultured bacterium. RNAcentral describes it as "partial 16S ribosomal RNA". It matches the Rfam family "Bacterial small subunit ribosomal RNA", at positions 356 to 1375 of the family's 1533-position model. The record is from RNAcentral.
UGGGGAAUUUGGACAAUGGGCGAAAGCCUGAUCCAGCAAUGCCGCGUGUGUGAAGAAGGCCUUCGGGUUGUAAAGCACUUUUGUCCGGAAAGAAAUCCUUGGCUCUAAUACAGUCGGGGGAUGACGGUACCGGAAGAAUAAGCACCGGCUAACUACGUGCCAGCAGCCGCGGUAAUACGUAGGGUGCAAGCGUUAAUCGGAAUUACUGGGCGUAAAGCGUGCGCAGGCGGUUUGCUAAGACCGAUGUGAAAUCCCCGGGCUCAACCUGGGAACUGCAUUGGUGACUGGCAGGCUAGAGUAUGGCAGAGGGGGGUAGAAUUCCACGUGUAGCAGUGAAAUGCGUAGAGAUGUGGAGGAAUACCGAUGGCGAAGGCAGCCCCCUGGGCCAAUACUGACGCUCAUGCACGAAAGCGUGGGGAGCAAACAGGAUUAGAUACCCUGGUAGUCCACGCCCUAAACGAUGUCAACUAGUUGUUGGGGAUUCAUUUCCUUAGUAACGUAGCUAACGCGUGAAGUUGACCGCCUGGGGAGUACGGUCGCAAGAUUAAAACUCAAAUGAAUUGACGGGGUCAUAGCUGUUUCCU